Molecule: small nuclear RNA, 104 nt
Filed under: Zalophus californianus (California sea lion)
Lineage: Eukaryota; Metazoa; Chordata; Mammalia; Carnivora; Otariidae
Source: RNAcentral
AUACUUCAACAGCACAUAUACUGAUAUUGGAAUGAUAAGAGAGAAAGUUAGCACAGCUCCUGUGCAAGAAUGACACAUAAAGUUGUGAGGUGUUCCAUGUUUUU